UACGUAGGGGCCUAGCGUUGUCCGGAUUUAUUGGGCGUAAAGAGCUCGUAGGCGGCUCGGUUAGUCGGAUGUGAAAUCUCCACGCUCAACGUGGAGGCGCCAUCCGAUACUGCCGUGGCUUGAGUCCGGUAGGGGAGUGUGGAAUUCCCGGUGUAGCGGUGAAAUGCGCAGAUAUUGGGAGGAACACCAGUGGCGAAGGCAGCCUUCUGGGCCAACACUGACGCUCAUGCACGAAAGCGUGGGGAGCAAACAGG
RNAcentral lists this ribosomal RNA (254 nucleotides) under uncultured bacterium. RNAcentral's name for it is "partial 16S ribosomal RNA". It matches the Rfam family "Bacterial small subunit ribosomal RNA", at positions 524 to 776 of the family's 1533-position model. The record is from RNAcentral.